GGACACCCUGGCCCCCGGGAUGCCUGUGGGCGGUGGUGUGAUGGGUCUAUCUUUAGCGGAGAGAGAAGCACAGAGAUGCACCCCCCAUGUCUGCCACCCAGGCAAGCACUCACCCUAAACAACCUCUAACAGGCAGGGGUGCCCCCUCCCCCGUCAGCCUGCUCAGCAGUGAGGCAGUUAACCCCCCUCCCCAGCAGGCCUGCCCCUGCCAAGGCUCCCUAAAAGGCUCACUGCUGACACAGCAGACCUCAAAACGAUCAGCGUGACAGAUGGCCACGGCAGACACUCGUCCUUUUUAUAGGCCCGACAUUAAUCCGGAGAGAUUGACAGCGGCCCUCUCAUCUUUGAAAUUUUUUUUGAAAGCUGAGCAAACAGCCCUCGGGGAGCAUAACUGAAGAGCCCAAGGCCACUUGCUGGGUGAACAGUGGUGAACGAAGCCAGAGUGGCUCUCUCAGCCUGGCCCUGUUGGACUCCUGCGUCUCACCGCCACCGCCCUGACUCCUCGGUUCAGUCUGCUGUUACAGGGACUCUGGGGCUGCCGGAAGUCACUGAGUGACUAAGAUGGACCAGCCUCGCCAGAAGUGACACCGCCAACAUUUAGAGCAGGUGUGUGCUGAAAGCAACUGCUUUCCCGCCCAGCAGCCACCAGGUUCCAGAUGCUAACAUGAUGUCAACCGAACUUCCCUGGGCAGAUGACCACAUCAAUAUGUCCUGGAACCCCGCUUCCCCAGAACCCUGCACUACUAGGGAAUGAGAGAGACAGGUUGGAGUACGGAUGGAACCACCAACACCCAUGUUCAGUGGGGAAGCAAUUACAGAAGCCAGACCUUCCACCUUCUGCACCCCAUGACCCUGGGUCCAUGCUCCCAGAGGGAUAAAGAAUAGGAAAGCUAUCAGGGGAAGGAAGGGAUGGGAUACGGAGUUCUGGUGGUGGGAAUUGUGUGGAGUUGUACCCCUCUUAUCCUACGUUUUUUGUCAGUGUUUCCUUUUUAUAAAGAAAAAAGAAAAGAAAACUGG
Molecule: long non-coding RNA, 1017 nt
Organism: Erinaceus europaeus (western European hedgehog)
Lineage: Eukaryota; Metazoa; Chordata; Mammalia; Eulipotyphla; Erinaceidae
Exons: 3
Source: RefSeq, a predicted model, not a curated record